GCCUGGAUAGCUCAGCUGGUUAGAGUGUGGCGCUGAUAACGCCAAGGUUGCUGGUUUGAUCCCUGUAUAGGACA
Molecule: transfer RNA, 74 nt
Filed under: Podarcis lilfordi (Lilford's wall lizard)
Lineage: Eukaryota; Metazoa; Chordata; Lepidosauria; Squamata; Lacertidae
Rfam family: tRNA
About the family: Transfer RNA (tRNA) molecules are approximately 80 nucleotides in length. Their secondary structure includes four short double-helical elements and three loops (D, anti-codon, and T loops).
Source: Rfam by way of RNAcentral